RNAcentral lists this ribosomal RNA (397 nucleotides) under uncultured bacterium. RNAcentral describes it as "partial 16S ribosomal RNA". It matches the Rfam family "Bacterial small subunit ribosomal RNA", at positions 523 to 918 of the family's 1533-position model. The record is from RNAcentral.
AUACGUAGGUGGCAAGCGUUGUCCGGAAUUAUUGGGCGUAAAGCGCGCGCAGGUGGUUCCUUAAGUCUGAUGUGAAAGCCCCCGGCUCAACCGGGGAGGGUCAUUGGAAACUGGGGGACUUGAGUGCAGAAGAGGAAAGUGGAAUUCCAAGUGUAGCGGUGAAAUGCGUAGAGAUUUGGAGGAACACCAGUGGCGAAGGCGACUUUCUGGUCUGUAACUGACGCUGAGGCGCGAAAGCGUGGGGAGCAAACAAGAUUAGAUACCCUGGUAGUCCACGCCGUAAACGAUGAGUGCUAAGUGUUAGGGGGUUUCCGCCCCUCAGUGCUGCGGCUAACGCAUUAAGCACUCCGCCUGGGGAGUACGGUCGCAAGACUGAAACUCAAAUGAAUUGACGGGG